This 375-nucleotide unclassified non-coding RNA is filed under the name Hevea brasiliensis (rubber tree). The record is from RNAcentral. Lineage: Eukaryota; Viridiplantae; Streptophyta; Magnoliopsida; Malpighiales; Euphorbiaceae.
AGUGAUGUUGAUUCUGACGGUGAACGAGAGGCCGAACACCCCGGUUAGGCUUUGGAUCUGUGGGUACACGCUGCAGUGCUUGGUGCAUAUGGUUUUGGUGUGCUUGGAGUAUAGGAGAAGGAAUACGAGGAGAGUGAGAGUUGAUGAGAAUCAGCCAGAAAACGAAGGAGGGAAUGUUGAUAGUGAAGAUGAGGAUACGAGUGAUAGGGGUUCCCAGAGUUCUAGCCGAUCAAGUGUGGCUAAACGAUGUGAAUCAGUGAACACAAUGGCUUCAUUUAUAUGGUGGAUAGUUGGCUUUUAUUGGGUAGUUUCUGGUGGCGACGUCCUUUCGCAAGAUGCUCCACGCUUGUACUGGCUGGGUGUGGGUUUUUUUGC